This 329-nucleotide ribosomal RNA is filed under the name uncultured eukaryote. RNAcentral describes it as "partial 18S ribosomal RNA". It matches the Rfam family "Eukaryotic small subunit ribosomal RNA", at positions 1470 to 1796 of the family's 1831-position model. The record is from RNAcentral.
CCCUUAGAUGUUCUGGGCCGCACGCGCGCUACACUGAUGCAUUCAACGAGUCUAAAACCUGCUCUGAUAGGGGUAGGUAAUCUUUUGAAUGUGCAUCGUGAUUGGGAUAGAUGAUUGCAAUUUUUCAUCUUCAACGAGGAAUGCCUAGUAAACGCAAGUCAUCAGCUUGCAUUGAUUACGUCCCUGCCCUUUGUACACACCGCCCGUCGCUCCUACCGAUUGAAUGAUCCGAUGAAUAUCAUGGAUUGAGGAUGCAAGCAGGUUCGCCUGUCUUCAUCUUCGAGAAGUGAAGUAAAUCUUAUCAUUUAGAGGAAGGAGAAGUCGUAACA